This 105-nucleotide microRNA precursor is filed under the name Cricetulus griseus (Chinese hamster). RNAcentral describes it as "miRNA (ENSCGRG00001006624.1)". Lineage: Eukaryota; Metazoa; Chordata; Mammalia; Rodentia; Cricetidae. The record is from RNAcentral.
GAAAUGCCUCCAUGAGAUGCAGCUGUAAGGCAUUUUCUCAUUUAGUGAUCAAUGAGGAGGACCCAGCCCAUGGUGGGUGGUACCAUCCCUGGGCUGCUGGUCCUG